This 82-nucleotide transfer RNA is filed under the name Dreissena polymorpha. It matches the Rfam family "tRNA". Rfam says of the family: Transfer RNA (tRNA) molecules are approximately 80 nucleotides in length. The record is from Rfam by way of RNAcentral. Lineage: Eukaryota; Metazoa; Mollusca; Bivalvia; Myida; Dreissenidae.
GUUGUCGUGGCCGAGUGGUUAAGGCGGUUGACUAGAAAUCUUUUGGGAUCUUCAAGCGCAGGUUCGAAUCCUGCCGACAUCG